RNAcentral lists this ribosomal RNA (253 nucleotides) under uncultured bacterium. RNAcentral's name for it is "partial 16S ribosomal RNA". It matches the Rfam family "Bacterial small subunit ribosomal RNA", at positions 524 to 776 of the family's 1533-position model. The record is from RNAcentral.
UACGGAGGGUGCGAGCGUUAAUCGGAAUUACUGGGCAUAAAGGGUGCGUAGGUGGUUUGUCGCGUCGGGAGUGAAAACACUGGGCUUAACCCAGUGCUUGCUUUCGAUACGGGCAGACUAGAGGUAUGCAGGGGAGAACGGAAUUCCUGGUGUAGCGGUGAAAUGCGCAGAUAUCAGGAGGAACACCGGUGGCGAAGGCGGUUCUCUGGGCAUGAUCUGACGCUGAGGAGCGAAAGUGUGGGGAGCGAACAGG